GAGUCAUUAGCUCAGUUGGUAGAGCAUCUGACUUUUAAUCAGAGGGUCAGAGGUUCGAAUCCUCUAUGGCUCACCA
Molecule: transfer RNA, 76 nt
Filed under: Staphylococcus aureus
Lineage: Bacteria; Bacillati; Bacillota; Bacilli; Caryophanales; Staphylococcaceae
Also listed under: 1 other name
Description: tRNA-Lys
Rfam family: tRNA
About the family: Transfer RNA (tRNA) molecules are approximately 80 nucleotides in length. Their secondary structure includes four short double-helical elements and three loops (D, anti-codon, and T loops).
Source: RNAcentral